GGAGUAGCGACGCCGGAUACCACUCUUGACUCCAGCGAAUCCUUUAGAGAUAGAGGAGUGCCUUCGGGAACGCUGAGACAGGUGCUGCAUGGCUGUCGUCAGCUCGUGUUGUGAAAUGUUGGGUUAAGUCCCGCAACGAGCGCAACCCUUAUCCUUUGUUGCCAGCGCGUGAUGGCGGGAACUCAAAGGAGACUGCCGGUGAUAAACCGGAGGAAGGUGGGGAUGACGUCAAGUCAUCAUGGCCCUUACGAGUAGGGCUACACACGUGCUACAAUGGCAGAUACAAAGAGAAGCGACCUCGCGAGAGCAAGCGGAACUCAUAAAGUCUGUCGUAGUCCGGAUUGGAGUCUGCAACUCGACUCCAUGAAGUCGGAAUCGCUAGUAAUCCGUAGAUCAGAA
RNAcentral lists this ribosomal RNA (399 nucleotides) under Proteus vulgaris. RNAcentral describes it as "bacterial SSU rRNA". It matches the Rfam family "Bacterial small subunit ribosomal RNA", at positions 955 to 1354 of the family's 1533-position model. Lineage: Bacteria; Pseudomonadati; Pseudomonadota; Gammaproteobacteria; Enterobacterales; Morganellaceae. The record is from RNAcentral.